Molecule: transfer RNA, 31 nt
Filed under: Stemonoporus elegans
Lineage: Eukaryota; Viridiplantae; Streptophyta; Magnoliopsida; Malvales; Dipterocarpaceae
Description: partial tRNA-Phe
Source: RNAcentral
GUCAGGAUAGCUCAGUCGGUAGAGCAGAGGA